CAUUUCCACCUCGCAUUUUCGAAUCGGUUCUUCAAUCGGUCAUCGGUUAUGCCUGACCCAAAACGCCAAUCCCUCGUCUGUGGAAUUGGGACAAGUAGUCAAGGUUUGUUACAUUUGUUGAAACACACAUCAAAGAAGCCAUUUUUAAGUCUUCAUAUUCAUGUUCAAUGCCUGAGUUUUGUUCACUUCCACUCUGCUGUUGUUGCCUAGGGACAAAUGGUGCUCCUCGACAGAAAUUUCGUAAAGGAGAUCGUUCACGUAGAAUGUGGAUAGCCCGCGAAGAGGAGAUAUUGGCUACCUGUUUACUUGACCUCGUUGCACGUGGCUGGAAAUCCGACAACGGAUUUCGCGCUGGGUAUCUCCAAAAAAUUGAGGACACUAUCCGCCAAGAAUUUCCAAAAUCAGACAUCCAAGGUACCCCACAUAUAACCUCCAAGAUUUCUGCUUGGAAGAAGAGCUACAGCAGUCUCAGGAAAAUCCUAUCAAGGACUGGCAUUGGAUUCAACCCCGAUGGCGAUCAUAGGAUCGAUUGCGAUGAUGAGUAAUGGAAGCAAAUUGUCCAGGCGGACAAGCAUGCCAAGGGCAUGCGGAAUAAAUCCUAGCCAAUAUGGGAGACAUGGAAGACCAUUUUUGGAGUGGAUCGGGCAAGUGGAGGUGGGUCUGAACAGGUUGACAAGGCUGCUGAAGAAUUGCGUCGACGACCAGCCACAGAACCAGCCACGAUCAGUGAGUGCAAUGAGAACGACUACUAUCCAUUUUUCGAUGAUGUUCCCAUCGAUGUCACAACUCCAGUUGCUGAACAGCAUGACAUUAACGACUACAGUUCUGGCAAAGAAGAAAAGGCAGCGUCUACAACCUAGGUUGUUGGACAGAAACGCAAAGCUGCGUCUGCUGAUGAUGCUCUCAUAGAUUUUCUGGCGAAGCUGCUUGCAGAGACCAACUCACGUCUGGAUGUUAUGAGUUCGAGAAUUGGAUACGAGUUUGAUUUGGGUAAGGCACGACAGGAGGUGUUCGACAAGCUUGGCACCGUCGACCGGCUGACACUAAAAGAGAAGUAUGAACUAUGCAACAUUAUGAGUGUCAAGAAGCAGUUCUUGGAGGUGUUUAUGGGGAUGCCUGCACAUGCUCGUCUAGGGUAUGUGACGAUGCUCCUGGAACAGAACCGCGAUGGUAAUUGAUGUCUGGGGUGGUGUUCCUGAUUGGGUUUACAAGACUUCUUUUUAGGUAUGUGAAUACUUUGCCAAAUAUGGCUUAUUUGUGUCCGCUUUUGGUGUGUAAUGCGGCAUAACUCAGAACUUGUAUUUUGAUUUUUGGGAGUGUGAUGGUGUGUUUGCUUACACGCUGGCUUGCACAAUUAUGUGUAAGGAUGUGUAUGCUUAUACAAUGGUUGCACCUAUUGUUUUUGGCAACCUAACAUAUGAUUGAAAUAUACUUUUGUAUAAUGAUUAGGUUUAUAUAUUGGUUA
This is a long non-coding RNA of Salvia splendens (bonfire salvia), 1465 nucleotides long. RefSeq lists it as uncharacterized. Lineage: Eukaryota; Viridiplantae; Streptophyta; Magnoliopsida; Lamiales; Lamiaceae. The transcript is spliced from 3 exons. The record is from RefSeq and is a predicted model, not a curated record.